This 835-nucleotide ribosomal RNA is filed under the name uncultured bacterium. RNAcentral describes it as "bacterial SSU rRNA". It matches the Rfam family "Bacterial small subunit ribosomal RNA", at positions 9 to 853 of the family's 1533-position model. The record is from RNAcentral.
GAGUUUGAUCCUGGCUCAGGACGAACGCUGGCGGCGUGCUUAACACAUGCAAGUCGAGCGGUAAGGCCCUUUCGGGGGUACACGAGCGGCGAACGGGUGAGUAACACGUGGGUAACCUGCCCUCAGCUCUGGGACAAGCCCGGGAAACUGGGUCUAAUACCGGAUAUGACUCCGCAUCGCAUGGUGUGGGGUGGAAAGCCUUGUGCGGCUGAGGAUGGGCCCGCGGCCUAUCAGCUUGUUGGUGGGGUAGUGGCCUACCAAGGCGACGACGGGUAGCCGGCCUGAGAGGGCGACCGGCCACACUGGGACUGAGACACGGCCCAGACUCCUACGGGAGGCAGCAGUGGGGAAUAUUGCGCAAUGGGCGAAAGCCUGACGCAGCGACGCCGCGUGAGGGAUGACGGCCUUCGGGUUGUAAACCUCUUUCAGCUCCGACGAAGCCUUCGGGUGACGGUAGGGGCAGAAGAAGCACCGGCCAACUACGUGCCAGCAGCCGCGGUAAUACGUAGGGUGCAAGCGUUGUCCGGAAUUAUUGGGCGUAAAGAGCUCGUAGGCGGUUUGUCGCGUCGACUGUGAAAACUCAGGGGCUCAACUCCGAGCUUGCAGUUGAUACGGGCAGACUAGAGUUCGGCAGGGGAGACUGGAAUUCCUGGUGUAGCGGUGAAAUGCGCAGAUAUCAGGAGGAACACCGGUGGCGAAGGCGGGUCUCUGGGCCGAUACUGACGCUGAGGAGCGAAAGCGUGGGGAGCGAACAGGAUUAGAUACCCUGGUAGUCCACGCCGUAAACGUUGGGCGCUAGGUGUGGGGUCCCUUCCACGGGUUCCGUGCCGCAGCU